GGCAGCCCUUAUCAAAGCUGUAGCUGCUUCUGCAUAGCUGGUGUGGUCAAAAAGAAGCCCCAGCUAACAGUUUUCCUUAAUGGUCAUGGUUCCCUUUGCUGUAACACAUCUGUAAGGUCUUGGGAAAAGACAGCU
Mesocricetus auratus (golden hamster) is the source of this 135-nucleotide small nucleolar RNA. The record is from Ensembl. NCBI's taxonomy places the organism in Eukaryota, Metazoa, Chordata, Mammalia, Rodentia, Cricetidae.